This 254-nucleotide ribosomal RNA is filed under the name uncultured bacterium. RNAcentral describes it as "partial 16S ribosomal RNA". It matches the Rfam family "Bacterial small subunit ribosomal RNA", at positions 524 to 776 of the family's 1533-position model. The record is from RNAcentral.
GACGGAAGGUGCAAGCGUUGCUCGGAAUCACUGGGCGUAAAGGGUGCGUAGGCGGCCGUGCAAGUCUGGCGUGAAAGCCCCGGGCUCAGCCCGGGAAGUGCGCUCGAAACUGCGCGGCUCGAGUGCCGGAGGGGAGAGUGGAAUUCCUGGUGUAGCGGUGAAAUGCGUAGAUAUCAGGAGGAAUACCGGUGGCGAAAGCGACUCUCUGGACGGCAACUGACGCUGAGUGAGCGAAAGCCAGGGGAGCAAACGGG